UUCGACAUCAAGCGAUGUGUGUGGACGGUUCAGUGGUUGCCCAGGGGUGGGGGUGGUACCCUGCUGGGAGGGAGAGGGCGAGGGGGGAUGUUUUCCCCACCCGUGACAUCGCGGUGGUGAUUGCACCAACCAUAGUUGAAGCAACCAUGCCCCCUCCCGCCCCACCUACCGAUACCAGAAAAGUAUACAUGGGAUCACCGCCGACAAGGGACAAAGUACUUCGCGGCAAUCAGACGACAACAAGCAACGGCGAGGAGAAGAACAACGGAGGAGGAGGUGGUGGAACGGGAGGAGGAGGAACUGGAGGAGGAGGUAAUAGGACGAGGAGAGUGCAGAACAGGGAGAAGAGAGGGCUGAAAUCGGGGAGAAGUUAUUCGGAGGAUUUGAGUAAGAUGCUGCCGGCUGCUUGGAGGGAUACUAAGCCUAGUCCUACCUCAGGUCACCCAGAAGUUUCGAGAAGGCUCCUGCUAGAGGAAUUCGAGAGCGAGUGCAAACUGAAGGACAUUGCCGACUCGAUCACCAGGCCGCGCCACCGUCGAGUCACCACAACGGCCGCCAACAUUGCCACUGCUGCCAACUCAAACAACCAGGAGCCAACCAGGGAUGGCGAUACGCAGUCUGCCAAACAGAUUCGUGGCGAUCCUGAUGGCUGUGGCUUGGACCUAUCCUCACUGAGGUAUUCGCCAUCCUCAGAACUCAGGGUUGAUUUACCUGCUGAAGAUUUGCUCAACAUUAAGAAAGGCUGGCUCAUGAAGCAGGCUUCCGAAAAGGAAUGGAACAAGCACUGGUUUGUUUUGCGAGGGGCUGCACUGUUGUACUAUAGGGAUCCGGCCGCCGAGGAUCAGGGCAUUUUGGAUGGGGUCAUUGACCUCAGUGGGGUCAGUUCUGUCACUGAGGUUCAGGUGGCUCGCAACUAUGGAUUCCAAACUAUGACAUGGGAUGACCGUCGGUACGUGCUUUCGGCGGUGACGGCGGGGAUUCGCUCCAAUUGGAUGGCUGCUAUUAGAAGGGCGGCUGGCCUACAGGAGGAAAUAACUGCUACAACAUCUAUACCUGCGGAACGCGAGCUAGUGACGUCAUCUUCGUCUGUCUCAGUAGUGUCGGUGGCGCCGCGACGCUCCCUGGCAUUCUCCUCGGAUGGAGACGACGAGUACCGGACGGCGUCGGAAGGGGGCCGAAGGGGGAGUAGUAGUGACUGGGGAGACGCACCCCUGCCCCCUUCCCCGCCUCUUAACAGGACGCCCAUUUCGAGGGUCAAGGAGAGGGCCAGGGGCGGAUCGAAGUCUAGGGGCUACCAAGGCGGUGGCAGCAGCAGCAGCAGUAAGCGGUCGCGGUCGUCGCCGCCCUCCUCACGAAGGUCCACCCUCGACUCGGUGCGCACUGAGGAUCUGGUGCGUGCGUGCUGUCAGUCCGACCUUGACAUCGGGUCAAUCAAUACGCCGGAGAAGCAGCCAUGCAACGAACUGGACGAAAUCAAGAAACAGCUGACCGGUGCGCUGAGAGAGUUGAGCAGUGCUGAAGAGGAGCUGCUCAGGCUAAGACAGAGGAAAGCUGACAUUUCUUCUCUAGAAACACAGGUUGAAGAUCUUUUGAAGAGGGUAGAAGAAGCUGGAAAGCAACGCGCCAAAGACUGUGCCGAAUUAGAUAGUCUGAAGAAAAGGUUCAUAGACGACAAAUCGCACUGGGAACACGACCUGCAGCGCGCAGAGUGCGAACUGCAAGCAGCGAGCGAUCGGUGCGCGCAGCUGUGUGCCGAACUUAGCGCCAAGAACGGCGACAUCUGUCGGCUGGAAGCGGAACUAGCACGUGGCGAUCAGCUGAUCGAGCGGCUAAAAUCAGAACUGCAUUCGGUGGGCGACCGGCUCAGCAACGGCAUCGAGGAAAACGAUGCACUGUAUCGACGCAUUCGCGAACUGGAGGGCCGGGGAGGCAAUUCGGUGGUCGUUCAGGUGCGGGACAAGGCCAGGAGUGUGGACUCGUUGAGCGAUCUCACCAACAUUGAUCUGGACUUGGAUUUGCAGCAGUUGGACAAGGAUCGAGUGGUGGAGGAGUACGAAGACCUGCGUACCCGGUUCGAGAAGGCGGUGGCGGAGAUUCGCGCGAUGAAGCGGGAACUGCGCGAAUCGCAGACGGCUGCGGACUGCCUGGAGUUGAGCCUGAUUCACGCCCGCCAAGAACUGCAGUGUCGUCAGAGUGACGCAGACGCCCAGCAGUCGCUUAUGGCCGCUCGUAUACAGGAUUUGGCCACCAAGCUGUCCAACGCCGAGAAACAGAUUCGUGCCCUGAAGCAAAAACUGUCCAAGUCAGAAACACGUGACAAACGGCGCUCUCUCUCACUCAAAGGCCGUGAAUCCUUCUCCAUCUGCAAAGAACUUGAAGACAAGUUGGCCGAACUUGAAAAGAAAAUCUGUGCACUGGAUAACAGCGGCAUCACUGCCAUCACCAAUGGCAGCACAGACACUCAGGAACAUGAUGAUUCCAAACAGAAACCCCAAUUACCUCAUACCUCUUCUAGUCCAGAAACAAACGGCUCAAGUAGUAAGGUUAGCGCCGCCAGGUUGCGGCGAAAGUCGCUAGAUAGCGCCACCAGCUCUGAACCAAUGAAAGUGCUCAUCCGCAUGAACUCGCUGGAGGCGAAAGUGAGCAAAGCUGCCAAAGGCAUCAUGAUUAGUCGGUCGUCACCACCCGCCAAUGACGACAUACCUGAACACCCGGUUGUGUUGAAUGUUGAAGACUCUGUUGAUGGGCCAGAAGGCUUGAAAGUUGAGGUUGUCAAUGAGGUGAGAAAGAUGGAGAAUCUGUUGAGGGUGAAGUUGGGUGAGCUGGCAAAGAAGAAGGAAGCGCUAAUAUCAGCAGGGGAGUGGAAUGAUGAGAACAAGCUGAAUCUACUAGCUGAGAAACUCGCCUAUGAAUCAGUGUUGGUUGGAAGGUUACAUGAUGCUGUCUCCGACUCCAAUAUGGCUGACUGCAAGGAUGCCAACCGUCUGAUGUCCAUGUUGGAGGUGAAGUUGAAUGGUGGCAAACCCAACAUUGAAACUUCUUUUGAUUAUCUCACACGUACGUUGAGUAGGCACCUUAUGGAGCAAAGCAGGGUGAAGCCCAGGAAGGUGAAAGAGAGAAAGAAGGUGGCGGGAGGUAGUUUUGUGGAGGAUUUGAAACAGAAGAAGAAGGUGUUGGAUGGGAGGACUGAGAAGUUUCUGGAGGAUGUCAUUGAGGAGUUGGCCAUGGUGUUUGCUGUGGAGACUCUGGGGGAUGAUGUGAGGUGCUCUGGGAGGAUACAGGAGGCAUGGAGUUUGGCUCAGGAAGCUGUCAACCAGGAGUUGAUCCAAGCGGAAAUAUCCCAAGUCAUGCAACAGUGUACAAAAACUUAUGAGAGUUUGAUGGAUAGGGAGGAUGAGACACGGUUCUUGGGACUGAUCCAGCAGAGGGCAUCGCUGGAGUGCUGGGGGAAUUUGGCGGCAGACAUGUUGAACGGAGAGAUGGAGAAAGCUGUGAGCCGGCUACAUGAGAAAUACCAGGCGAACUUGGUGAGGUUAAAAGGUGAGAAGGAGAAUGUGGUUGGUGGCUUGAGUGAGGAAGACGAGGAGAAAGCUAGAGUGCUGUUGCAGCGGUUUGUUGAUAUAGUUGCACACAAGUCACUGUUAGACACUAGGAUGGCGUUGCUGUGUGAGGGUGAUGAAGAGUCCGGCCCGGAGGACCAGGAAACGUGGAUAUUUGAUGAGGUGUCGUUUCUAACUGAAGUACAAAAUCUGUAUGUGAAGUUUUGUUUUGACCUUCACAACGAAGGUGAGGAGAGGAUCAAGGAGGCGUUUGGUGACGUUUUGAAGGAGGUGGACUCGCUGCGUGACCACGUGGUCGACUGUGUGAAGGUGGACGCGAGUGCGAGCGUGGUGGGCACUGACAGCCUGGCCAGUGUGCGGUCGGAGGGGUCGGACUGGGUGGAGGUGGCCUGCUGCUACUGCGGCGAGAUCAAGGAGCGACUGGUGCAGCUGCAGAUGUGCCUGGCUCAGGGCAAGGAGUGUCAGCGCUGCAACAGUCUACAGGAGGAGUUGGACAGGAGAGAAAGCAAACAUCGUGAGGUCCUAAACAGCACCCAUCAACGGCAGCAGAUGGAGUUGUCAGAACUGCAGAACUCCCUGGAACAGGAAAGACAAAAACUGGUGUGCCAACACGAGCAGGAGCAGUCGGCGCUGAAGGAGCGCGCGCGCAAACUGGAGCGGCGCCUCGGCACCCUGGACUCUGAGUACACGCAGCAGAUGGACAACCUGCGUGCCGCCUACCACAAGACGCUCUCCACCUCCCUGGACAGGGACCACCUCCAGGGCGAGGAGACUGUGCGUCUGCGCUAUCAGGCCGAGAUCGAACAGCUCAGGGCACUUUGCGAAAAAGGAUUGAUGGGGAUGGAGAAUUCUCACCGGAGAAUAAUCGCUGAACUGGAGGAGAAACAUCGACAAGAGUUGGAAGCACUGAGAGUGGAGAAAGAGCAGGCUCUGGCCGAAGAAACUCAAGCCACUCUAGCUGCUUUGGAUGCAAUGCGUAAAGCUCACGAAGCCGAAGUACAAAAAGAAAUAACCAAAUUUAAGUCGGAAUUCCUCAAGAAAAUGCAAUCCUCACACGAUAUAGGAGCAUUGCAUAAGGAGCAAGAUGGCUGCUGGUAUAUGAAUCAACUUCGAGAAAUGGGAAUUCCGAACGAAAAUGAAAAUAACUUUGCAAUAGCAGUGCGAGCCGAAAUGGAAGAGAUAAAGCAGGAGAUUCUGUCUCUGUCUGAGAAGUACUCAGUGAAAUGUGUGGAGUCGGCAGCCUUAGAGGAAGAACUGAGAGUAGCCAAUAACCAGCUAGCUCAAGCUCAACAACAUAUUUUGCAAUUAGACUCAAGAAACAAACAAUUACGAGCUCACCUGAUGGCAGAAGCCAAUGACCUGGCCAAAGAGUGUGAACUGACACCCGAAGAUAAAACCAAAGAGUCACCAAUUAAAAAUGAAAUAGGAACGACAGCUGUAUAGAUCCCAUUCUAAAGAGUAAAACUCGCUUGGAACCCUUAUCUCUGAACAGUUCAGAGUUGAAGAGGUAUUCAGCCCUAGUAUGCGGUCGCAGUGUUCUACCCCCUCUGCGUUCCCCCUCCCCCUGCGCUCUGAGUGGGAUGGUGGCUGAGCGCAAGAAGAUCUUCGAACAGUAGUCUCUCUCUAUCUCCCCCUUCCCCUCUCUGUUCCAUAACUUAAAAUGCUUUUUAUGUAAUUUAUAAAACCCUCUAAUAUAUUUUUACUUCUCUGGUCACCUGUAAUAUCUUCUUGCUCUCUCUCCCUUAAGGGUUGUGUGGCAGAAAGGACCAGGAGUCCUAACUCCGCCCUAAUAAAGGCAUAUAAUCAAUCCAUCAAUCCCUCUCUCUUUCUGUUCCUCUUUCUUUUUCUGUCUUCCUCUCUCUGUCCUAAAAGUUGCUUUUUCUAUUACUUUCAGGAUAUUUUUCUAAAAUCUACUACACCCUCCAAUAUAUCUGUACUUCUUUGGUCACCCUGUAAUCUUUUGUUUUUCGUUGUCUCCGUCUCUCUUUUUUCUGUCUUAAAAGCUGUUUUUUUAACAUCUAUACUACUGUUUAAAUACAUCUUUACUUCUCAGCUUACCCUGUAAGCUCUUCUUUUUCGUGUCCUCUCUCUCUCUCUCUCUCUCUCUCUCUCUCUCUCUCUCUCACUCUCUCUCUCUCUCUCUCUCUUCAUCUCGCUCGGUUUCUCUCUGUCAUUCAGUAAUUUUUUCCUCAUCGUGAAAGCAUAUUUCUAACGAUUCGAUUCCAAUGAAACUCAUAGCUAUGUAAGCGAUUCCAAUAAACUCAAUAUCUCAUCUUAUAGCUGUCAUAUCUCCUUGGCUAACCAGUAGUGUAAUGACAAGGCAUUCUGCCUUCAAGUUGGAUAAGAUGUUUUAUUUUCCUCGAUAGUCGAUAUAUUUCUAACAUGAUUCUAUUGUCACUUUCAAUAUUGAAUACAUAAAGUAUGUUGAAAACUGUUAACAGUUGAGAGAUUACAUAAUACAAUAUGCUGUUGGGUGUUGCCUGUCAAGAUUUAAUAGUAUUGCUUUGCCUAUUGAGUUGAUUCUCAUUGAGGUGAAAUAUAUGUAUUAUCUAGUAGUUUCUUGAUUCCCCCUUGUUUGAAAUUUUUGAGUUCUUACACAUCAGAUCGGAAUGUGUAAUGAAUAUAUUGUCAUUUGGCUGAGAGAAAAUGUGGAAAGUAAAUACAGUGAUUUAAUUCUUUUCAGAAAUUUUCAAGUUGAUUCUCAUCAAAAUAGAAGACAAAAUAAUGAUGAAUUUGAAAGAAAGGAUGGAGUAGUAAAAAUAGAUUUUGAAUUGAUUCUUACCUUUUGUGAGGAUAUAAAAAUGGAAAUUCAUUUUGAGAUUAAUUUGAAAGACAUUUUGAAGCAGUAGAAGAUAAAUUUGAGACAAUAAAUUCGAUUCAUUAUUACGAAUAUAAUUUGUAAUAUCAAAUUAUUACAGUUUGAAGUGCAAGAUUCAGAGUCCCAUCAUGAAACUUCAGUCAUUUUUUUGUAAGUUAUUCUUAAGUUCUUAUGAUUUUGAAGUAAUUUGAUUGGAAAAUAUUAAGUAGGAUGUAUUGAAAGUCGGAUUUCAAGAACCGUAUCAAAGGUAAUGAAGUCAAGAUGCGGGGUACAAUAAUUAAAUGUCCUCAAAUUCAGUACAUUAAUAAAUAAUAUCCAAAAUUAGUUAAUCCUAUGUUCUCUUCCUCAGAAAAUAUUGAUUUAUAACUUAUUGAAACCGGAAAUUUCCUACAUCAUGAUCCCUCUUAUAGAAUAAUAUAAAACAACUCCAUAUAAAAAAAAUAUUUUUAUGCUGCUUUUCAAAUUGGGAAGAGUAUUAUAUACUCGAAGGAGUAUAGUAUUACUAAAAGCAAGAUAAUCCUUGGAGUUUUGUACCUAGCUUUAAUGGAAAGGCGUAGAGUAGGCAUAGAACGGUGGAAUUGAACAUUGUGCUUUUUGAAUGUGUAUUGUUAUCGUUGUGUGAGUAAUUUAUCCGGGUCCAAAAGCAAUUAAAAUCAUUAUAAAUUAUAUAAAACGAAUUUAUUGAAAAUGAAUACUGUUACUCCUUAUAGAUUAAGUUUGUUACAAAUAUAAGUGGAUUGGAGUCAAAAUAAAAAAUUGUUUGAGACAAUUAUUGUUUCUUAAUAUAUUCAGGAUAUUCUAAGUAGUGAAUCUACAUUAAUGAAUUCUAAAUAUGAAGUUUGGACCAGUUCCAAUAUCAGUUACAAGUUUAAAGAGUAUCAGUAAGUCAUAACAUUUGAAGCAUAAUUCAUAUUCGAAGAUUUAUAAGGGAGCAUAAUAAUAUAUUUUAAUUGUUAAUUUUCUUAUAAUGUGUGUGAACUAAUAUUCCCGGUGAAGUAUGGU
Molecule: unclassified non-coding RNA, 7380 nt
Filed under: Nilaparvata lugens (brown planthopper)
Lineage: Eukaryota; Metazoa; Arthropoda; Insecta; Hemiptera; Delphacidae
Description: protein outspread, transcript variant X1
Source: RNAcentral